RNAcentral lists this ribosomal RNA (613 nucleotides) under uncultured bacterium. RNAcentral's name for it is "bacterial SSU rRNA". It matches the Rfam family "Bacterial small subunit ribosomal RNA", at positions 338 to 944 of the family's 1533-position model. The record is from RNAcentral.
CCUACGGGAGGCAGCAGUAAGGAAUAUUGGUCAAUGGAGGCAACUCUGAACCAGCCAUGCCGCGUGCAGGAAGACUGCCCUAUGGGUUGUAAACUGCUUUUAUACGGGAAUAAACCUUGAUUCGUGAAUCGAGCUGAAUGUACCGUAAGAAUAAGGAUCGGCUAACUCCGUGCCAGCAGCCGCGGUAAUACGGAGGAUCCAAGCGUUAUCCGGAUUUAUUGGGUUUAAAGGGAGCGUAGGCGGCCUAUUAAGUCAGGGGUGAAAGACGGUGGCUCAACCAUCGCAGUGCCUUUGAUACUGGUAGGCUUGAAUGUAGUUGAGGUAGGCGGAAUGUGACAAGUAGCGGUGAAAUGCAUAGAUAUGUCACAGAACACCGAUUGCGAAGGCAGCUUACUAAGCUAUGAUUGACGCUGAGGCUCGAAAGCGUGGGGAUCAAACAGGAUUAGAUACCCUGGUAGUCCACGCCCUAAACGAUGAUAACUCGAUGUUGGCGAUAUACAGUCAGCGUCCAAGCGAAAGCGUUAAAGUUAUCAACCUGGGGAGUUACGCCGCAAGGGUUGAAACGUUCAAGGAAUUGACGGCUUGAGACGNGCGAGCGACGACGAGGAGGAGG